This 72-nucleotide transfer RNA is filed under the name Camelus bactrianus (Bactrian camel). It matches the Rfam family "tRNA". From Rfam's summary of the family: Transfer RNA (tRNA) molecules are approximately 80 nucleotides in length. Their secondary structure includes four short double-helical elements and three loops (D, anti-codon, and T loops). Further hydrogen bonds mediate the characteristic L-shaped molecular structure. tRNAs have two regions of fundamental functional importance: the anti-codon, which is responsible for specific mRNA codon recognition, and the 3' end, to which the tRNAs corresponding amino acid is attached (by aminoacyl-tRNA synthetases). tRNAs cope with the degeneracy of the genetic code in two manners: having more than one tRNA (with a specific anti-codon) for a particular amino acid; and 'wobble' base-pairing, i.e. permitting non-standard base-pairing at the 3rd anti-codon position. RNAcentral also lists the same sequence under 2 other names. Lineage: Eukaryota; Metazoa; Chordata; Mammalia; Artiodactyla; Camelidae. The record is from Rfam by way of RNAcentral.
GAGGGUAUAGCUCAGUAUUAAAGUGUGUGCUUAGCUUGCACAAGGUCCUGGGUUCAAUCCCCAGUACCAACA